ACCUGGACCCAGCGUAGACAAAG
RNAcentral lists this microRNA (23 nucleotides) under Homo sapiens (human). RNAcentral describes it as "hsa-miR-3690". The record is from miRBase by way of RNAcentral. Lineage: Eukaryota; Metazoa; Chordata; Mammalia; Primates; Hominidae.